This 880-nucleotide ribosomal RNA is filed under the name Xanthoparmelia subramigera. RNAcentral describes it as "eukaryotic LSU rRNA". It matches the Rfam family "Eukaryotic large subunit ribosomal RNA", at positions 1 to 895 of the family's 3401-position model. The record is from RNAcentral. Lineage: Eukaryota; Fungi; Ascomycota; Lecanoromycetes; Lecanorales; Parmeliaceae.
UUGACCUCGGAUCAGGUAGGGAUACCCGCUGAACUUAAGCAUAUCAAUAAGCGGAGGAAAAGAAACCAACAGGGAUUGCCUCAGUAACGGCGAGUGAAGCGGCAACAGCUCAAAUUUGAAAUCUGGCUCCUUCGGGGUCCGAAUUGUAAUUUGUAGAGAGUGCUUCGGGCGAGACCUCGGUCUAAGUCCAUUGGAACAUGGUGUCAUAGAGGGUGAGAAUCCCGUAUGCGACCGUGGCUCGAGCCCAUGUGAAGCCUCUUCGACGAGUCGAGUUGUUUGGGAAUGCAGCUCAAAAUGGGUGGUAAAUUUCAUCUAAAGCUAAAUACUGGCUGGAGACCGAUAGCGCACAAGUAGAGUGAUCGAAAGAUGAAAAGCACUUUGGAAAGAGAGUCAAACAGUACGUGAAAUUGUUGAAAGGGAAGCGCUUGCAACCAGACCUGCCCGUAGGCGAUCCGCCGCUGUUCUCAGCGGUGUACUCGCUCUGCGAUCAGGCCAGCAUCGGUUUCGGCGGUCGGAUAAAGGCCUUGGGAAUGUAGCUUCCCCUCGGGGGAGUCUUAUAGCCCUCGGUGUAAUGCGGCCAGCUGGGACCGAGGACCGCGCUUCGGCUAGGAUGCUGGCGUAAUGGUUGUAAGCGACCCGUCUUGAAACACGGACCAAGGAGUCUAACAUCUAUGCGAGUGUUUGGGUGUCAAACCCAUACGCGAAAUGAAAGUGAACGGAGGUGAGAACCCUUAAGGGCGCAUCAUCGACCGAUCCAGAUGUCUUCGGAUGGAUUUGAGUAUGAGCAUAGCUGUUGGGACCCGAAAGAUGGUGAACUAUGCCUGAAUAGGGUGAAGCCAGAGGAAACUCUGGUGGAGGCUCGCAGCGGUUCUGACGUGCA